GUGCCAGUCGCCGCGGUAAUACAGAGGUCUCAAGCGUUGUUCGGAUUCACUGGGCGUAAAGGGUGCGUAGGUGGUGAGGUAAGUCUGAUGUGAAAUCCCGCAGCUCAACUGCGGAACUGCAUCGGAUACUAUCUUGCUAGAGGGUUUGAGGGGGGACUGGAAUUCUCGGUGUAGCAGUGAAAUGCGUAGAUAUCGAGAGGAACACCAGUGGCGAAGGCGGAUCUCUGGGCCAUUACUGACGCUGAGGAGCGAAAGCGUGGGGAGCGAACAGGAUUAGAUACCCCCGUAGUCC
This 292-nucleotide ribosomal RNA is filed under the name uncultured bacterium. RNAcentral's name for it is "partial 16S ribosomal RNA". It matches the Rfam family "Bacterial small subunit ribosomal RNA", at positions 505 to 796 of the family's 1533-position model. The record is from RNAcentral.